RNAcentral lists this ribosomal RNA (253 nucleotides) under uncultured bacterium. RNAcentral describes it as "partial 16S ribosomal RNA". It matches the Rfam family "Bacterial small subunit ribosomal RNA", at positions 524 to 776 of the family's 1533-position model. The record is from RNAcentral.
UACGUAGGGUGCAAGCGUUGUCCGGAAUCAUUGGGCGUAAAGAGCGUGUAGGCGGUCCGGUAAGUCGGCUGUGAAAGUCCAGGGCUCAACCCUGGGAUGCCGGUCGAUACUGCCGGACUAGAGUUCGGAAGAGGCGAGUGGAAUUCCCGGUGUAGCGGUGAAAUGCGCAGAUAUCGGGAGGAACACCUAUGGCGAAGGCAGCUCGCUGGGACGUUACUGACGCUGAGACGCGAAAGCGUGGGGAGCAAACAGG